This 55-nucleotide transfer RNA is filed under the name Cepaea nemoralis (banded wood snail). RNAcentral's name for it is "tRNA-Ser". The record is from RNAcentral. Lineage: Eukaryota; Metazoa; Mollusca; Gastropoda; Stylommatophora; Helicidae.
AAGAGAAUAAAUAAAGUGCGGCUGCUAACUACAAUUUGGGGGUUUCCGUCUCUUC